RNAcentral lists this transfer RNA (60 nucleotides) under Phaeodactylibacter sp. Its description in RNAcentral is "tRNA-His". It matches the Rfam family "tRNA", at positions 9 to 63 of the family's 71-position model. Rfam says of the family: Transfer RNA (tRNA) molecules are approximately 80 nucleotides in length. Their secondary structure includes four short double-helical elements and three loops (D, anti-codon, and T loops). Lineage: Bacteria; Pseudomonadati; Bacteroidota; Saprospiria; Saprospirales; Haliscomenobacteraceae. The record is from RNAcentral.
AGCUCAGUUGGUUAGAGCGCUGGAUUGUGGUUCCAGAGUUCGCGGGUUCAAAUCCCGUCU